Hemiscyllium ocellatum (epaulette shark) is the source of this 478-nucleotide long non-coding RNA. RefSeq lists it as uncharacterized. The transcript has 3 exons. The record is from RefSeq and is a predicted model, not a curated record. NCBI's taxonomy places the organism in Eukaryota, Metazoa, Chordata, Chondrichthyes, Orectolobiformes, Hemiscylliidae.
UGCAGUAUGAGGAAUCCAUGAUGAUCCGGUUGAAUGUGUCGAAGACGCGGAGGGACAAGGGGAGGCGAUCCCUGGCGAUGACCUCCCAGCUCGGAUCCCUCACCCAUUUCGGGAACAUCUCCGUCCUGACCGGAGGGGCUGGGAACUCGAAAUCCGCACCAAGGCCAAAGAAGAGGAAAACUGUCCGGAAACACAAGGGCAAAGCGUUCCGAAGGAGACUGUGAAAUGGGAGUGACCCCAGGAACCGCCAGUGGAACACCUCCUCGACUGUCUCCUCACCCUCCUCUCCCCUCCCUCCCUCUCCUCUCCCCUCUCUCCCUCCCUCCCUCUCCUCUCCCCUGCCCUCUCCCCUCCCUCUCUCACACCCCCCCCCCCCCCCCCUCCCACGUCUGAGUCCCUGCGGAGCGAUGGAUUGACGUUGCCCUGACCUGCAGGGUGUUGAGAUCUGCUCUGGGUCAAUAAAACGUUUUCGAUUCGA